UAAUGAUCCGCCGGGCGGGUUGGAAGGGUUGGUAACACUGUUGUAUUGCUUAUGAAGAGUUAACGUUGUUAGAGAGAGACGUUGUUGACGUUAAUUUAUGAAGUUGAACUGAAAUAGAUUGAAGCCAGUAUAAUGGGCAAGUUUCUUUCUCAAGUGGACAGUGAGGCUUCAGUAACUCCCAUGUUAGACAUUUUGAAAGAAAAGAAGAAAAAGAAGAAAAAGGUGAAGGAAGUUGAAGAAUCAGAAUACACAACCUAUGAAAACCUUCAGCCUGAAGAACCUGUGGAGUUAUUGCCAAAAAAGAAGAAAAAGAAUGAAAAGG
Cherax quadricarinatus is the source of this 322-nucleotide non-coding RNA. The record is from RefSeq and is a predicted model, not a curated record. NCBI's taxonomy places the organism in Eukaryota, Metazoa, Arthropoda, Malacostraca, Decapoda, Parastacidae.